GGCCUUGACAUACUAAGAACUUUCCAGAGAUGGAUUGGUGCCUUCGGGAACUUAGAUACAGGUGCUGCAUGGCUGUAGUCAGCUCGUGUCGUGAGAUGUUGGGUUAAGUCCCGCAACGAGCGCAACCCUUUUCCUUAUUUGCCAGCGGGUCAUGCCGGGAACUUUAAGGAUACUGCCAGUGACAAACUGGAGGAAGGCGGGGACGACGUCAAGUCAUCAUGGCCCUUACGGCCAGGGCUACACACGUGCUACAAUGGUCGGUACAAAGGGUUGCUACCUCGCGAGAGGAUGCUAAUCUCAAAAAGCCGAUCGUAGUCCGGAUCGCAGUCUGCAACUCGACUGCGUGAAGUCGGAAUCGCUAGUAAUCGCGGAUCAGAAUGCCGCGGUGAAUACGUUCCCGGGCCUUGUACACACCGCCCGUCACACCAUGGGAGUUUGUUGCACCAGAAGUAGGUAGUCUAACCGCAAGGAGGACGCUUACCACGGUGUGGCCGAUGACUGGGGUGAAGUCGUAACAAGGUAAGCGUAGAUGA
This 533-nucleotide ribosomal RNA is filed under the name uncultured bacterium. Its description in RNAcentral is "bacterial SSU rRNA". It matches the Rfam family "Bacterial small subunit ribosomal RNA", at positions 977 to 1509 of the family's 1533-position model. The record is from RNAcentral.